CAGCGACUUCGAAGAGGAAACAACUGUCCUGGAUGAGGUCCAGUUGGAUGUGCCAUUGGAUGAUGUGCCAGAUGUUCCACAGCUGCCAGUCCUCCUUGAUGUCCAGAAUGCUGCUAUCAUCCUUGAGGAUGUGCCAGAUGUGCAGACUAUCCUUGAGGAGGCCACUGGCAAUUGGCAGUUGAUUCCGAUUAGGUUCAGCCCCCUGUACUGUGGGCCUGUUGUGAUCAGGGUAAGAGAC
Long non-coding RNA from Oncorhynchus nerka (sockeye salmon), 238 nucleotides. RefSeq lists it as uncharacterized. Lineage: Eukaryota; Metazoa; Chordata; Actinopteri; Salmoniformes; Salmonidae. The record is from RefSeq and is a predicted model, not a curated record. The transcript is spliced from 3 exons.